AAGUCGUAACAAGGUUUCCGUAGGUGAACCUGCGGAAGGAUCAUUAGUGAAAUAAAUCCAAAAAACUGUGCACUAAACUUGCAAUUUUUUACAGUCAAAAUAAUAAAUGAUACAACUUUUAGCAACGGAUCUCUAGGUUCUC
RNAcentral lists this unclassified non-coding RNA (142 nucleotides) under fungal sp. Its description in RNAcentral is "partial internal transcribed spacer region". The stretch from base 1 to 46 matches the Rfam family "Eukaryotic small subunit ribosomal RNA", at positions 1786 to 1831 of the family's 1831-position model. Lineage: Eukaryota; Fungi. The record is from RNAcentral.